UGCAAGUCGCACGAGAACGUUUCAGCUUGCUGAAACUAGUAAAGUGGCGUACGGGUGAGUAACGCGUGGGUAAUCUACCUCCGAAUUGGGGAUAACAUUGCGAAAGCGAUGCUAAUACCGAAUGAUAUCUCAAUAACUCCGGUCUUUGAGAUCAAAGGUGGCCUCUCCAUGGAAGCUACUGUUUGGAGAUGAGCCCGCGUACCAUUAGCUUGUUGGUAGGGUAACGGCCUACCAAGGCGACGAUGGUUAGCUGGUCUGAGAGGAUGAUCAGCCACACUGGAACUGACACACGGUCCAGACUCCUACGGGAGGCAGCAGUGAGGAAUUUUGCGCAAUGGGGGAAACCCUGACGCAGCAACGCCGCGUGAGUGAUGAAGGCUUUCGGGUCGUAAAGCUCUGUCAAGUGAGAAGAACCUGCCUUUUGGUAAUAUCAUUGGGCACUGACGGUAUCACUGAAGGAAGCACCGGCUAACUCCGUGCCAGCAGCCGCGGUAAUACGGAGGGUGCAAGCGUUAUUCGGAAUCACUGGGCGUAAAGAGCGCGUAGGCGGUUUCUAAAGUCAGAUGUGAAAGCCCGGGGCUCAACCCCGGAAGUGCAUUUGAAACUUAGGGACUUGAGUAUGGGAGAGGGAAGUGGAAUUCCUGGUGUAGCGGUGAAAUGCGUAGAUAUCAGGAGGAACACCGGGUGGCGAAGGCGACUUCUUGGACCAAUACUGACGCUGAGGCGCGAAGGCGUGGGGAGCA
RNAcentral lists this ribosomal RNA (743 nucleotides) under uncultured Desulfobacterales bacterium. RNAcentral's name for it is "bacterial SSU rRNA". It matches the Rfam family "Bacterial small subunit ribosomal RNA", at positions 56 to 770 of the family's 1533-position model. Lineage: Bacteria; Pseudomonadati; Thermodesulfobacteriota; Desulfobacteria; Desulfobacterales. The record is from RNAcentral.